This 342-nucleotide ribosomal RNA is filed under the name Tetra pinnatifidae. RNAcentral describes it as "partial 16S ribosomal RNA". The stretch from base 181 to 342 matches the Rfam family "Bacterial large subunit ribosomal RNA", at positions 2083 to 2597 of the family's 2925-position model. The record is from RNAcentral. Lineage: Eukaryota; Metazoa; Arthropoda; Arachnida; Trombidiformes; Eriophyidae.
GUAAUCAAAAGUUUAUUGAUUGUAAACCUGUAUGAAAGAUAGAAUCUGUGUUUCCUUUCCUUGAUUUGAUUAUGAAUUUAAAGAAAGAUAAAAAAUACUUUCCAAAAAGGCAGACGAGAAGACCCUAAAAGCUAAUUGAAAUCAAUUUUUUGGGGAAAAUAUAAUUAAGAAACUAAUUUUGAAAGAAUUAAAAAACUUAGAAAUAAGCUACUUUAGGGAUAACAGAGUAAUUUUUUCAAAAAGUACAUAUUGGAUUAAAAGAUUACGACCUCGAUGUUGGAUUCCUGAAUCUAAACACCGCAGCAGGUGUAAAAGAAUAGACUGUUCGUUUUUUAAAUCAGG